This is a long non-coding RNA of Halichondria panicea, 838 nucleotides long. RefSeq lists it as uncharacterized. The transcript is spliced from 3 exons. The record is from RefSeq and is a predicted model, not a curated record. NCBI's taxonomy places the organism in Eukaryota, Metazoa, Porifera, Demospongiae, Suberitida, Halichondriidae.
GGCUCAGCUCAGAAGCCAGCAAAGAGACACAUAAGCGCUGAGUUUUGUUUGAAGCAUUUUGUGUAGCUAAAACACAGCAGCAAGAUAUAAUAAUUAUCAUAGACCCUGGAUUUGACAGAUGCAAGCAAUGAAACCAUUCGGUAUCACAACUUCAAAAAUUGUUGUUGUUAUUUUGAUACUUGCUAUCAAGAAUUCAGUUGCAGUAAUUUCUUCGCAAAAAUUUAUUCCUACUGCUGAUGAUGAUGCAAGAUUUAAAAAAAUUGUAUCCUUGGGUGACAGUGUAGAGAUUAAAUGUUAUCGCAUUUAUGGUUUGAGAGUAAACUCAACAAUACUGAUGGUACACGAUCGGUGGCACUUACGAUCAGCCAAUGGCACGGACACUUUUAUUAACCAAGGUGAUCCCACAUUUUCUGUGCCAUUUGAGGAGAAGUACGAUGUAACUCUAACAUUUAAUCGAAGUGACUACCAAGAUGGUUGCAGUGGAACGUUCAUUGAAUACUCUCUCAGAAUAAGCAACAUCAAUGACAAGGUUCACGGACUAGAAGUUAGAUGCGGAGCACGAUUGAUUAGUGACUCUCUAGAGGACAGGUGGGAGGCCUCUCAUGUGACGGAGGUUCUUAUCGAUAACAUGACUGAUGUCAGUAUACUGAAUAAAACAUUGUCAAGCAUAUCAGAGCAGCUGGAUGUGUGUGUACAUCAAAACUCUGUUGAUGAAAGUAUAAUCCUUAAAAUUCUUAUUUCAGUCAUUGUUAUUCUUAUUGCAGUCAUUGUUAUCCUCAUUUUUUCUAUUAUCGUUAUAUGUAAUGUACCCACAUAACUGAGUGAAUUUUUUAAGCAC